RNAcentral lists this long non-coding RNA (406 nucleotides) under Homo sapiens (human). RNAcentral's name for it is "non-protein coding LINC01517:16". The record is from RNAcentral. Lineage: Eukaryota; Metazoa; Chordata; Mammalia; Primates; Hominidae.
GGAAACUCCUAUUGUGAUCUUAAGGGCUGUAACCCAGAGAAUCUGGUUCUUCCUGGAGUAUUUCAGCAGGGAUCAGCUUAAAUAGGUCUACUUGAAGUUCACAACUGCCAAAACCGCGUGUUCAGACUGAAAGGCUGGGAGCAUUUCAGACGCAUUUAUGAACUUCCACCAAGAUGAUCCGGCAGGCUGAAAUCGCAGGGAGAGCGUCUGUUCAACAAACCCUUUCUUCUUGAUUGAAUUAGUGUUACCCACUAACAGGAUGAGGAAUUCCCACUCCACAAGCUGACUUUUUUUCCUCUUUCCACCUCCCGCCUCCCUCCAUUAAAAUGUAAACUUGAUUCCUGUGUCCUUUGCCGGAGCCUGGCUUCCCUGUAAGCCCAUCAUAAACAUCUUGGUAGAAAUGCAA